GGCCAUUUUCACUAUGCUGAUCCUUCCUACCCAGGAUCAGGUGCUUUACCCUGAAGCACUUGGCUGUGAGGAACCUGAGCUAGCUCACUUGAAGAGGCUGUGGUAGAAAGGAAUUGAGACCCAUUUUUGACCAUAAGCAUCAACCUCCAGAAAAUUCAAAUGCCGUUUGCUAUCUAUUCAAUAACCAGUCACCAUCACCACAUAGAGAAUGGUAAAGGAAAGAGGUUCGGCCCAAGAAAGCAAGAAGGGAAUGCAAAUAAAACAGCAGUAGCAACCACCUAACUGCACUCCUUGUUACAUGAG
This is a long non-coding RNA of Heterocephalus glaber (naked mole-rat), 303 nucleotides long. NCBI's taxonomy places the organism in Eukaryota, Metazoa, Chordata, Mammalia, Rodentia, Bathyergidae. The record is from Ensembl.